RNAcentral lists this ribosomal RNA (483 nucleotides) under uncultured bacterium. RNAcentral's name for it is "bacterial SSU rRNA". It matches the Rfam family "Bacterial small subunit ribosomal RNA", at positions 30 to 489 of the family's 1533-position model. The record is from RNAcentral.
AUUGAACGCUGGCGGCGUGCUUAACACAUGCAAGUCGAGCGAGAAAGCUCUCUUCGGAGAGUGAGUAGAGCGGCGCACGGGUGAGUAACGCGUGGAUAAUCUGCCCUUGAGACUGGGAUAACAGUUGGAAACGACUGCUAAUACCGGAUGUGCUACAUAUUUAACUUUAUGUGGGAAAGGUGGCCUCUAUUUAUAAGCUACCGCUCUAGGAUGAGUCCGCGUCUCAUUAGCUUGUUGGUGGGGUAAUGGCCUACCAAGGCAACGAUGAGUAGCUGGUCUGAGAGGAUGAUCAGCCACACUGGGACUGAAACACGGCCCAGACUCCUACGGGAGGCAGCAGUGGGGAAUAUUGCGCAAUGGGGGAAACCCUGACGCAGCGACGCCGCGUGUAGGAAGAAGGCCUUCGGGUCGUAAACUACUGUCAAGAGGGAAGAAACUGUUUGGUCAUAAUACGGCCAAUCACUGACGGUACCUCUAGAGGAA